AACACCCAGUACUCACUGGUGGAAGACAUAUUCAGAGCGUAGAAAUGUAAAGGUAAAGUAAUACUACGGUUUAAAAUGAUAGGCCUACAUGUACAUUUCCAGUCCUGCAUCUGACAUCUCCCUUAAAGUUAAAAGUAGCAGCUGGGCUGAGCACCUGGGUGUGUAUGGAACUGGACAUCCUUAUUGAUUACUGUAGGGAGGAGCGGUCCCAGACAUCACGGCUCCCUCGCUGCAUCCCCGGCGUAGAAAGCAAGCAACACAAGGAAAGUGAAGUAAAGCAAUUUGAACACCGAGCCCCAGUAUGACCUUUGAUUAUGAGAGGAAUACAGCGGUGCUCAUAUCCCAGGCCUCCCGGUUCCCUCUCAACAUGAUGAAUGGGACACCCUCAGCUGCAGGACAAAACAACCAUUCGAGGAUCUAGGGUAACGCGCACACACACACACACACACACUUACACUUACACACACACUUACACAAGCACACACAUGUACACACACACACACACACACACACACACACAGAGAAAUGCUGACAGACAAAUGACACUCUGAUGGAAAGUGAAGCACUUUUAAGUCCUUAAAUGCCACCAGCAGUGCACACACACACACACACACACACACACACACGGUCUGUAAUAUUACAACACCUACACUUAUCUCCUUGUGUUUAAAGCACGUUUAACACUGUGCUGCCCUUGAAAAGAAACCAGUUAAGCUGAGGCUUUUAUCUUGCGAGCAGGUUCGUGUGUGGAUUUAUUAGUAGAAAAAUAGAAACACCCAUUAUGGCUUAUUGAAACAGUUCCAAACGUACCCAAAUGUGGUUUAAAAUUAUGCAGUUUAUUAAGCAACAAUGAGCAAUUUAUGUAAACACAGUUCAAACGAGCGCUGCUCCUGUAUACACCUUAAAAAUCCUCCUUUUUUGAAGUGGUUUUAUUUUGGGGUUUUUCAUAGUAAUUUAUUGGCUCAAAGUGCACAGUGCAGUGUUAAAACUGAUUUGAUAUGGAAACCUGCAGGGACAUAUUAAUUAAAAUAGCAAUCUAAUUAGCAUUCCGCUGUGACCUAAAAGUUGAAUAUUAUUAGAGCCGCAACCGUCGGCUGUGAUGAAAAGAGCUUACAUGACAGUGAAAUUGAAAUUCAAAGAGCUGGAGAUAAUGUACACACAGAUCAAAAGAACAAACGGUGGGGAGAAAAAUAACACACCAAGAAGUUUUACAUUUCCUCACAAGGGGGUAAAUCCAGCGUGUGCACACUCCUGCACCCACACACAGGCACACGUGCACACGAGAACACACACUCUCACUCAGUAUUGGGUAGUUUGGUGUAAUUCAAUCCCCAAAAAGUCUGCCAGAUACAAAUAUCGCUGCUAUGACAUUAUCAGUAGGGUUGUAAUGGAGGGUAAACUCACUUUGCUGUCGGCUUUUUAUUUGCUGAAUAGAGUUUGUCCUAAAUUUUUAGGUCAUAUAAAUCUUUCUUCAUGAUUUAAACUGAUUGUAAAUGUUGUUCUUCUGAGUAGUACUAAAGUCAUAUGAAGACAUAAUGUUAUAAUGUAUUAAUAACACCAUAAAAUCAGCAAGUGAAGUAUUUCAAUGCAUAAAUAAACAUUCUGCACACAAUUACUUUUUCGAAAACACUUCAGUAACUGUUUGAAUUUGUACAGUACUUACAGUAGCAUAGUGAUCUGCUGCAACUAUGACAACAUACAAAAAGUGUUGUCAUUGUGCGACAUCAACAACUUUUAACUGUUGACAUGAUCGUCAGUUUUGUGCACUGAUACAUAACUCCGGACUAGUGGUGGAAGAACUCAGAUUCUUUACUCAAAGGUGCUCUAUAUGAUAUCCAGAACAUUAAUAAAGCAGCAAACCACUAUUUGCUAUGUAAAGAUAUGGUGGAGUAAUGUCUACCUGAGCAGAGAAUGAAGUCAGUCUCCCUCUGUGUGUGUUGUAAUCCGAGCUUCUCUGUGCUUUGUUGACAUAGCCGGGCCGAUCGUGCGUGCUUUUAGUGUAUGUGAGUUAGCCCUACUGGCUAGCUCAGGGCCGACUUAUGCGGCGGUUACAGCUGAUAACACCGUCCCGACCGAUGCCGCUGUUAUGGAAGCGUAGCCCCCACCCUCCGGUUACCCCUCAGGUAAACACUGUUAGCUCUGUCAGUAGUGUUGCCGUUGUUUUCACUGUUAGCAUCGUUAG
Molecule: long non-coding RNA, 2182 nt
Organism: Sebastes umbrosus (honeycomb rockfish)
Lineage: Eukaryota; Metazoa; Chordata; Actinopteri; Perciformes; Sebastidae
Exons: 3
Source: RefSeq, a predicted model, not a curated record